GUGGGGAAUUUUGGACAAUGGGCGCAAGCCUGAUCCAGCAAUGCCGCGUGCAGGAAGAAGGCCUUCGGGUUGUAAACUGCUUUUGUACGGAACGAAACGGUCCGGGUUAAUACCCUGGGCUAAUGACGGUACCGUAAGAAUAAGCACCGGCUAACUACGUGCCAGCAGCCGCGGUAAUACGUAGGGUGCAAGCGUUAAUCGGAAUUACUGGGCGUAAAGCGUGCGCAGGCGGUUUUGUAAGACAAGCGUGAAAUCCCCGGGAUCAACCUGGGAAUUGCGCUUGUGACUGCAAGGCUGGAGUGCGGCAGAGGGGGAUGGAAUUCCGGGUGUAGCAGUGAAAUGCGUAGAUAUGCGGAGGAACACCGAUGGCGAAGGCAAUCCCCUGGGCCUGCACUGACGCUCAUGCACGAAAGCGUGGGGAGCAAACAGGAUUAGAAACCCGAGUAGUCC
RNAcentral lists this ribosomal RNA (450 nucleotides) under uncultured bacterium. RNAcentral's name for it is "partial 16S ribosomal RNA". It matches the Rfam family "Bacterial small subunit ribosomal RNA", at positions 354 to 796 of the family's 1533-position model. The record is from RNAcentral.